AGGCAGGCUGCAGACUGGGAGGGUGGGAGUGAGCAUGCAGCCGACCCCACCAUAGGCACGGGGCGUCGCCUUCUCCCCUCAGCACAGAGGAGAGGUGACGAAUGCCAUUUGGUCUCUGCAGCGUCUGUAGAGGGAAGUCUGUAAGCAGGAGUGCCAACCCCAAUUGGCAGAUUCUCUGACACUUCAAGUCUGCAGAGGAAAAGCAGCCAGAUCUGCCAGUGAGCCUCAGGCUUUAGGAACCGAAGAGGGAUGAUACUGUGAAGUGUUUAGGAAUGAAGUCUCGUGAUACCUGCUACCUAGUUUCAAAUGGCAGGAGAGACAGAGGGAUGGGGAAGCAAAAGUGACCAUUGUUAACUCUAGGUGUUUAGUAUGUGGGUGUUCCUUGUUUUAUUCUUUCACCUGUAAUAUAUGUUUAUAUUUUUUAAAAGUUAAUAAGUUGGAGGAUGAUAGAAGCAUUAAAAAGUAGGCCGGGUGUGGUGGUUCAUGCGUGUAAUACCAACACUUUGGGAAACUGAGGCAUUAAGAUCGCUUGAGGCCAGGAGUUCGAGACCAGCAUGGGCAACAUGGCCAGACUU
RNAcentral lists this small RNA (575 nucleotides) under Pongo abelii (Sumatran orangutan). RNAcentral's name for it is "processed transcript". The record is from RNAcentral. Lineage: Eukaryota; Metazoa; Chordata; Mammalia; Primates; Hominidae.